RNAcentral lists this microRNA precursor (88 nucleotides) under Xyrichtys novacula (pearly razorfish). The record is from RNAcentral. Lineage: Eukaryota; Metazoa; Chordata; Actinopteri; Labriformes; Labridae.
GCAAGUCAAACUGCACAAUCUCUCCAGGUGAUUGUGAGAAUAUAAAACACCAUCACAGUUGCCUGCAGAGAUUACUCAGUCAGCCUUA